UACAGAGGGCUCGAGCGUUAAUCGGAAUCACUGGGCUUAAAGGGUGCGCAGGCGGACUCGCAAGUAUCUUGUGAAAUCCCACCGCUCAACGGUGGAAUCGCUCGGUAGACUGUGAGUCUUGAGCCCGUCAGGGGUCGUCGGAACGCUAGGUGGAGCGGUGAAAUGCGUAGAUAUCUAGCGGAACGCCAAAGGUGAAGACAGACGACUGGGACGGCGCUGACGCUCAGGCACGAAAGCGUGGGUAGCGAACGGG
RNAcentral lists this unclassified non-coding RNA (253 nucleotides) under uncultured Phycisphaeraceae bacterium. RNAcentral describes it as "contains 16S-23S intergenic spacer region". It matches the Rfam family "Bacterial small subunit ribosomal RNA", at positions 524 to 776 of the family's 1533-position model. The record is from RNAcentral. Lineage: Bacteria; Pseudomonadati; Planctomycetota; Phycisphaerae; Phycisphaerales; Phycisphaeraceae.